UUGAGCUCUUCAGCCUCAUCAUCCUCAGAGGGCAGCUUCUUCCUGCAAAGACACAGAUGUGGAAGGGGCCUUCAGCAAAGGCAGAGGCCCCAGGGAGAAGUGUCAUGACUUUGAUCCCUAAAGAUCAUCUAGAGCCAAUUCCUAGAUAGAGGAUGGGGGGCGGAGCAUGAACUUCUGAGUCCUCAUUUGCCUGGAGGGAGGGAAAACGGCAGAAGAGAGGGGCAUAGCCACUCUCUAGACCUCAGUCUUCCCAUCUGUUAAAUGGCUUGGCCUAAAGGUAACAGCAUUGGUAUUGCACCCCAGUCCUGCCUCUUACCUGUGUGUGGCCUCAGCAAAUUACCAAAACAUGCUGAGUUACCUCAGUUUCCCCCUCUGUAAAAUGGGAUUAAAUCUACUCAAGUAAAUGAGAUACUUAUCACUUAGUUCUCAGUUUCAACUUCCUUCCCCUCUCCUGCUCCCUGUCUAAAGUCACCCACCUCAUUCCCCUCUACUCUCUAUCACACCACCUUUUCAGCUAUCAGAGAAGCCAUGGAAUCCAGUCUCCGCCUUACGGUGUGACCUUAGUUCUGCUCCUGCCAUGUGAGAGCCUGUUUCUUUUGCCUUCCACCAUGAGUACAAGCUCCCUGAGGCCUCCCCAGAAGUAGAUGCUGCCAUGCUGCCUGUACAGUCUGUGGAACAAUGACCCAAUUAAACCUCUUUUCUUUAUU
This 707-nucleotide long non-coding RNA is filed under the name Homo sapiens (human). RNAcentral describes it as "HSALNT0231876". Lineage: Eukaryota; Metazoa; Chordata; Mammalia; Primates; Hominidae. The record is from RNAcentral.